Molecule: long non-coding RNA, 1826 nt
Organism: Pieris napi
Lineage: Eukaryota; Metazoa; Arthropoda; Insecta; Lepidoptera; Pieridae
Exons: 4
Source: RefSeq, a predicted model, not a curated record
AGUUAAUUAUCAAAAUUUUCAUCUUAAAAAGUAAAUAUUUACUAUUUUAUUUAAUAAAAAAUAGAAAACGUAUAUCAAACAUGUUUUUGGGGACCAAGUUUUAACUCAAAAUAUGUACAUAAAAACACUUGUUUAAUAUAGUGAACAUAUUAAAACGUCUUGCCAAUAAUAACGUAUUAUGAAUAUUAUUGUGAAGAUGAUAUUGAUAUUGAUCGUAAACCCAUCUGGCAAAGGGGCCGCUUAAAGCACAAAACAAUGGAUACCUAACAUCUGGAUAUUAUAUUGUUACAAUUUUAAGAAUAUUAUCUUAACAAAAACUACUUUCUACUAGCACUACGCUUGAUAGACCGGCAUUUGAGAACGAUGGGCCCUUGGACGAUCGUCAUCUUAGAUUAAGUACUGAACCUGAGCAGUCUACUAGCACUACGCUUAAUAGACCGGCUUUUGAGGACGAUGGGUCCUUGGACGAUCGUCAUCUCUUUAAAGAUGAAGUUCUGAAAAUGUGGAAUUUAACUAAAGUAAAUAAAACUUUAGGCAAUAACGAGCAGUGUGUGGCAUUUGCUGAAGAACAUGGAUUAGUGCAUUCUCAAAAGCAAUGUAGAACACAUCGUGUACCCAUGAAAAUAAUUAAAUCGACGAAUAAAUCAUUUUGUACAUGGUCUUGUACAAAAGGAAAUUGCAAAGCAAAAUCAAGAAUUGCUAGAAAUAAAGGAACAUUUUUUGAUAACAUUAAAAUAAACUUAGUACAUGUCUUCUAUUUACUAUAUGCAUAUUCACAAAAUUGGAGUUAUUAUACAACUAUUAAUGAAAAUCCAUAUAAAGAAGAUAGACAACAAUGCUUAAGUUGAGGCACUAUUAAUGAUUGGUUUAAUUAUUGUAGAGAAACUAUAGUUAUUUAUCAAAUGGACAAAAAUCAAUUUAAAGGAAAGAUUGGUGGCCCAGGGAAGAUUGUGCAGAUAGACGAAUCAAAAUUUGGGAAACGAAAAUACAACCGAGGACGACAUAUUGAGGGCCAUUGGGUCCUUGGUAUGAUUGAAGACAAUUCAGAAGAUCUGAUAUUGGAAGUGUGCUCAGAUAAUAUUCGCUCAGCGGAAGUAUUAGUUCCUCUAAUACAGAAACACGUAGAAGUUGGCACAACCAUCCACACUGACUUCUGGCGAGCAUAUGAUUGCUUGUCUGAGCAUGGAUACCUUCAUAAGAAGGUCAACCACUAGGAUCCAGACAACCCCUUUGUGGCUGAAGAUGGAACACAUACUCAAAGAAUCGAGUCUCAAUGGAGAGCAGUUAAGAGAUUUUUUAAGAAAGGCAAUUAUAAUCAUAAUAAUACAGAAAAUUUCACUGAUCAUUUAUACGAAUACCUAUGGCGGCGAAACAAUAAGAAAUAUAAAAAAGACCCCUUUGAGGAGCUACUUAUAGCAAUUAAAUAUAUCGAUACUGUGACCACCUUGACCACGCCUUCGUGAGUAUUCUCCCGUCUCACGGUAUCGCUUCCCAAGUCUGUAGAUAACAGAAGGGGCUACUCCUAGAUCAUUUCCUACAUAACGCAUAGUUCGACCCUCUUCAAGCAAAGCGAUAGCUCGGGAGACAUGCAAUUCAGUCAGAUCUGGCAUUAUGACCUAAACUCACUUGCUUCAAUUAAUAACAAUACUCAAAAGGCUCAGCUUUAAUUAAUAACAAUACUCAAAAGGCUCACUUCAAUUUCUAUUAAUACUCAAAAGAUUGAAAAAAACUACUUAAAAUGUGUUUUCUGUGAUUAGAAAGUAAUGAAAAUUCAAAGACGUCACUUUGUUUUUCGUCUACAAUGCACAUUUUAUUGUUUUAUUAAU